UGGGGAAUUUUGGUCAAUGGACGAAAGUCUGAACCAGCCAUGCCGCGUGGAGGAUGAAGGCCCUCUGGGUUGUAAACUUCUUUUAUAGGGGACGAAAAAGGGUCUUUCUAGAUCAACCGACGGUACCCUAGGAAUAAGCACCGGCUAACUCCGUGCCAGCAGCCGCGGUAAUACGGAGGGUGCAAGCGUUAAUCGGAAUUACUGGGCGUAAAGCGCACGUAGGCUGUAGUGUAAGUCAGGGGUGAAAUCUCCGAGCUCAACUCGGAAACUGCCUUGGAUACUAUUUGCCUUGAAUUAUGUUGAGGUUGGCGGAAUAUAACAUGUAGCGGUGAAAUGCAUAGAUAUGUUAUAGAACACCGAUUGCGAAGGCAGCUGACUAAGCAUAUAUUGACGCUGAGGCACGAAAGCGUGGGUAGCGAACA
RNAcentral lists this ribosomal RNA (422 nucleotides) under uncultured bacterium. Its description in RNAcentral is "bacterial SSU rRNA". It matches the Rfam family "Bacterial small subunit ribosomal RNA", at positions 355 to 774 of the family's 1533-position model. The record is from RNAcentral.